GGCUACACAUGCAAGUCGAGCGGCAGCGGGAAAGUAGCUUGCUACUUUUGCCGGCGAGCGGCGGACGGGUGAGUAAUGCCUGGGAAAUUGCCCAGUCGAGGGGGAUAACAGUUGGAAACGACUGCUAAUACCGCAUACGCCCUACGGGGGAAAGCAGGGGACCUUCGGGCCUUGCGCGAUUGGAUAUGCCCAGGUGGGAUUAGCUAGUUGGUGAGGUAAUGGCUCACCAAGGCGACGAUCCCUAGCUGGUCUGAGAGGAUGAUCAGCCACACUGGAACUGAGACACGGUCCAGACUCCUACGGGAGGCAGCAGUGGGGAAUAUUGCACAGUGGGGGAAACCCUGAUGCAGCCAUGCCGCGUGUGUGAAGAAGGCCUUCGGGUUGUAAAGCACUUUCAGCGAGGAGGAAAGGUUGAUGCCUAAUACGUAUCAACUGUGACGUUACUCGCAGAAGAAGCACCGGCUAACUCCGUGCCAGCAGCCGCGGUAAUACGGAGGGUGCAAGCGU
This 507-nucleotide ribosomal RNA is filed under the name Aeromonas hydrophila. RNAcentral's name for it is "bacterial SSU rRNA". It matches the Rfam family "Bacterial small subunit ribosomal RNA", at positions 45 to 541 of the family's 1533-position model. Lineage: Bacteria; Pseudomonadati; Pseudomonadota; Gammaproteobacteria; Aeromonadales; Aeromonadaceae. The record is from RNAcentral.